Molecule: non-coding RNA, 72 nt
Organism: Pangasianodon gigas (Mekong giant catfish)
Lineage: Eukaryota; Metazoa; Chordata; Actinopteri; Siluriformes; Pangasiidae
Source: the annotation of a GenBank genome assembly
UCCCUGGAGGACUAGUGGUUUGCCCACGGUGCUCCCACCGCCACGGCCCGGGUUCAAUUCCUGGCCAGGGAA